This 253-nucleotide ribosomal RNA is filed under the name uncultured bacterium. Its description in RNAcentral is "partial 16S ribosomal RNA". It matches the Rfam family "Bacterial small subunit ribosomal RNA", at positions 524 to 776 of the family's 1533-position model. The record is from RNAcentral.
UACGUAGGAGGCGAGCGUUAUCCGGAUUUAUUGGGCGUAAAGGGCAAGUAGGCGGUUGGGUAAGUUGGGUGUGACAUCUCCCGGCUCAACUGGGAGGGGUCAUUCAAGACUGCCUGACUGGAGGGCAGGAGAGGGAAGUGGAAUUCCUAGUGUAGCGGUGGAAUGCUCAGAUAUUAGGAAGAACACCAGUGGCGAAGGCGGCUUUCUGGCCUGCACCUGACGCUGAGAGGCGAAAGCUAGGGGAGCGAACGGG